GUGUUAUAUGAUGGGAGAGAAGCUUAGCACUCCCCUUGACAGGGAUAAAAGAGGCUCUUGGGCCUAACAACACACAUAUAGUUAAGGCAUUGCACCUAUGUCAUAAUUUUAUACAUUU
This 118-nucleotide non-coding RNA is filed under the name Mus caroli (Ryukyu mouse). Lineage: Eukaryota; Metazoa; Chordata; Mammalia; Rodentia; Muridae. The record is from RNAcentral.